GGGCCACGCCCCUGGCCUGCCCCACGACUCGGGUUUUCCCACCUCCUGCGGGUCCCUGGCCCUGCCGGGUAACUCCCGAGAUCCUAUCCUGGUCUCCCCUUUGGCUCCGCCCUUUUCCUCACUCCCCCAGCCCCCACCAUUCCGGUCACUCCCCUCCCCAGUCGCAAGGUAUCCCAGCUCUCCUUGCAGGUGGCGAUGUUACGGGCACUGCUCCAAGAGGCUCGAUCCUCUCAAGCCCCCAGCUCCCGCCCCAUCUCUGACCCCUCUUCUCUUCUGGCACCACCGCCUCUCCUAAAGGACCUCUUGCGCCAGGAGCUCCGGCAGUUGCUCCAGGGUCUCCGCCACAAAGCCAUCUGUGAGGGCAGGGACCAGGCCCAAGCUUGGGUCCAGUAUAGCCCCAGGGUCCUGCACUUUGCCUUGGAGGAGCCCAGGUGUGAUUUGCCAGAACAGGAGAUAUUCCAGAUGAGAGGUGGUGGGCCCAGGUAAGGUGAUGGUAGGAGAGAGGGAUCUGUCCCUGCUUGGCAGAGGGCCCUAGCCCACUGGUGGGUUGCACCUGGCUCCAUGCAGGAGAUUCCAGUCACGGGCUGGGCACUUCCACCGCCAUUUGUGAUAGAGAUCAUCAGCCCAUAAGGGCUACUGAAACCCAGAGGAAACACCUGCCUAGCCUGGGGACAGGAAAAGCUUCUUGGAGAAAGUGGUUUGAUCUGCGUGUUGUAGUAUGAGGAGCAGUUUUCAGGGAGAUGAAAGAGAAGAGCUUUGUAGGAAGAGGGAAGAAAGGAAGCCAUGUCCAGCAGGCGGUUGUUCCUCCGGCCUAGAGAACAGGAGUGAGGGCUGGGCUAGG
This 841-nucleotide long non-coding RNA is filed under the name Pan troglodytes (chimpanzee). Its description in RNAcentral is "long non-coding RNA NONPTRT000230". The record is from RNAcentral. Lineage: Eukaryota; Metazoa; Chordata; Mammalia; Primates; Hominidae.